RNAcentral lists this ribosomal RNA (465 nucleotides) under uncultured bacterium. RNAcentral's name for it is "partial 16S ribosomal RNA". It matches the Rfam family "Bacterial small subunit ribosomal RNA", at positions 28 to 507 of the family's 1533-position model. The record is from RNAcentral.
GACGAACGCUGGCGGCGUGCUUAACACAUGCAAGUCGAACGGAAAGGCCACGUUGGUGGUCCUCGAGCGGCGGACGGGGGCGUAACACGUAAGUAAGCUGAACUUGACUUUGGGAUAACUUCAGGAAACUGGGGCUAAUACCGGAAAGGGAUAAUUUCUGCAUGGUGGGGGUUGGAAAGCUUCGGCGGGUUUGGAUGGACUUACGGGUUAUCAGCUUGUUGGUGGGGUAGUGGCUUACCGAAGCGUUGGCGGGGAGCCGGCCUGUGAGGGCGACCGGCCACACUGGGACCUAGGUACGGCCCAGACUCCUACGGGAGGGAGCAGUGGGGAAGAUUGCACAAGCGGCGGAGGGCGGAUGCUGCAGCGCCGCGUGCGGGAUGACUGUCUUAUGGUUGUAAACCGAUUUCAUCAGGGGCGAUGCUUGUGGUGACGGUACCUGCAGAAGAAGCACCGGCUAACUACGUG